CUGCUGUUUCUUGUGCCCCUUCUCUUUCGUCUGCCACAUCUGGUGUGCAAACAUAACACGAGUUGCACCGUCCAUGAUGUGUCCAGAAUUCCACAUGAAUACUACCAACCUGGUGAUCUUAUUGUUGGCGGACUUGCUUCCCACCUCCUUACUGCUUUUGACGAAGAAAACUUCAAAGAAAGGCUAACUACCCAUCAGCUUCUAAAUACCUUGUAAACACUUCAAAUGUCGAAUAAUCAGAUGAUACUGAAAUAUCCCCUAGCUCUAACCAGGCCUACUCAGAAGCUAGUUCCAGGGAUUUCAGUGGGAUUUACAUCAAGGCAGAUGGAGGGGGGCAUUUCCAAAGCUGAAGAGUUGGCUUGGAAGAAGGGAGAUGCAGAUCUGAAUGGGUCAGUGUGAUGAGAGAGAGCCUGGUCUUGUUGAUGUGUGCUCUCCUCCUCACAUCCCACCAAAUCUCUUCCAAGGAGAGUUUAACUAGGGGAGGACUCACAGACCAAACCUCCGUAGUUUAAAAUGGAAAGCCCUUCUCUGUUCUUAAUCUUCACCUCAGAAACUCUCCUGUGAGUGGUCUUAAUGGUUCACCUUUCCAUUGAGGUGGUGCUCCUAGAGCCCCUGAUGUUCUCAUCUAAGUUGGGCUAGUCGACUGCAUUUAAUAUUUCUAGAGAGGGCCUGGGUUAGAUACAUUCUAACUGUAUUCAGCUGAAGGUAGUGAUCAGUGAAGAAAUGUCAGUUAACAGUCAGUUGGGAGAAGUUCUGAGGGAGGUGUAAAUUCCAAUUCAGAGGUAAAGAUCAGGUUUUCCUGGAGGAAAAUGGCAGGACUUGGGGAAGUCUGAAUGAGCCCUAGAUGAAGAUAAAUUCUGCUCACCUCUUAUUAGAAGAACAUUAUAAAAGCACAUUUCUUAAAUGAGAUGAGCUGUCCAAGCAGCCAAGAAUAUAAUCUGAGGAGUUUGACAGUCAGAACCUAGAUUGUACCUAGCUGCUAAACUAAUCUGUGUGUGAACUGGACACGAGUGGAGGCUUAGGGAAGUUGGUAUGAGAGAAAAGGCGUUAGAGGCUGGUGUCAACAAGAGCAUCUCUUGGAUGUUCAAAAAGUGUUGUCAAGUAUAUAAUGAACCCCAAAGUAAAUAUCAAUAUUCCGUUAUUGGGAAGGGGGGAAUUCAAUUUAGUUCAUAUUUACUGUAAAUGAGAAGCUACCAAAAAAAAUACUCUUGAAAAUAUAUUGAAACCAAACACAGUCAUCAUUUGAAAUUCAAACUUCUCCAGUUUGAAGAAUCAUUUAAGAGACCCCUUAGGGGGGAAAAUGCAUAGCCUAUCUCCCAAUGAUACAGCAUAAAAUUCUCAUUGCAGUAUUGUGCCAAAGAACUACCAGCAUAUUCUGGCCUUGGUAUUUGCUGUCAAGGAGAUCAAUGAGAACCCCAGGAUCUUACCUAAUAUUACACUGGGAUUCCACAUCUAUGACAAUUAUUUUGAUGAAAGGAUGACGUACCGGGCAGCUCUGAACCUUCCCUCUACCCUUAUACCCAACUACAAGUGCAACAUCCAGAAACACCUGGUGGCGGUUAUUGGGGGACUGGACUUGGAUACCUCCAUCUACCUGGCAAACAUCUUGGGCAUCUACAAGAUUCCCCAGGUAAGAUACCCUUGGGGGUUUCCACACUCAUUCAUCACAAUCUUUUCUAUCUAGAAAGGAUUUGUAUAAUAGAGAAAUAGUUGUGAGAGACAAAGGAGAGUGAUUCUGCCCUUCACAAAAAGUGUUCCCAGUGUGCUUUGCACAAUUAAAUAGAAUGCGUAGCAUCAAGCUGUCAGGUGACAUUAAACUAUCAGCAUAAUAAAAACAUGUCUGCUCUAGGUGGCCAUUCCUCUCCCCAUUCUUAGGCACACUGACCAUUUCUCUCUGAUGGAGGUCUGAGAAGUGAAUGCUACGUCCAUCUAGCUUGGUGUCUCAGGUUCAGCUGAUGAUGCCACCCUCCAUAGGGAUAUCCUAUUGCAUAAUAAUAAUGUUACUGUUUAUACCUCACCCAUUUUACUGGGUUGCCCCAGCCAUUAUGAGUGGCUUCCAUCAUAUGUAAAAUCAUAAUAAAAUAUUAAACAUUUAAAAAACUUCCUUAUAUGGGAUUGUCUUCAGAUGGCUCGGGGAUUGGAUAACUCCAUACCCUCCAACAUUUCUGAUGAAAAGAAGGACAUCCUAAGAAAAAUGGGGCAUUGUGGGAUCAAAUCAGAAACUGGGACUGCUUCUGUAAAUCUGGCACUGUCCUUGGAAAAUAGGGACACUAGGAGGGUCUGCCACUGUGUUGCAUGCCAGAGAGCUGCAGGAAUGUGGUUUUUCUCAAGUGCUUUUUCCACAGGAGAGUGCUGUAGCAGCACACCAAAUGCCAUGGAGAAGGGGAGAGUGAAGUGAAGAUAUCUCCCUCCCUCCCUCCCAUCCACCCUGCCAACAUAUUUAUUUUUACCACCACAGUCAUUAGAGAUGCACAAGGGCCAGCCCAAGACCCUUUGCUGCCUGAGGUGAACCAGCAAAUUAUACCCCAGUGGAACUGCAGUUUGCAAACGCUGCUGAGUUAGAGCAUGGAUAAGGAAUAUCCGAUUUAGGGAAAAAUGUAGCCCUCAAAACACUCUCCAGUCCUGCUUUCCCAACCCCUUGAGUGAGUUUGGCAGCUUGUUUUUUUACUGACUGAAAAGUGUCUUGGGAUGGAGAGAAGGUAAUGUGAUUAUGGAAGAGUGCUCAUCUCACCUCACUUCCUUAUCCACACACACCUAAAACAUGUAUUGAAAUUCCAUGCUGCUGACUGACACCCUCUCACUUUUGCUUCAUGGCCUACUGGUUGGAGAUGGAAGCUGAUCUCUUGCAAAGCUGGAAGCCUGCGAAUUCCUAUGCCCCACAAAUAACCCAGACAUGCAUUUUAAAUAAAAGGACACAUUCUACUCAUGUAAAAACACGCUGAUUCCUGGACCGUCCGUGGGCCUGAUUUAGAAGGUGAUUGGGCCACAUCCGGCCCCCGGGCCUUAGGUUGUCUACCCCAGUCCUAACCAGUCCAAAAUUCCUUCCUGCAGUAUCCUAUUGGUCAGGAAACUGUAGUUACAUACUUUUCUGAUAUGCCUUCUUCAUGUCUUCUUUUUGACAUAUGCUCCCAACUGUUACAUACAUCCCAUGUCCAUUCACAUACAUCCCAUGUUCAUGUAAAUUGAGUGUUCAGACCCAGAAACCUCCCCCCUAAAUAAAUUCACACUUGACUCAAAUUUUGCUUUUGGUUUUUGGCAGAAUUUAGGCCUCAACUUUAUUGAUUACAGAAAGUGAGUGGUUGUAUAGGCUCUGGUUGGACUAGCUCCCUGCCAUGCAGGUAGUGCUGACCCAGGGUUCCAGCAUAGGUCAGCCAAGGGUGAACACCUGGAUAGGCAAAAAGUCAGGAAUGGACUAUGUCUGCCACCCAGAUGUCCCCCUGGACUCAGGCACGGACACAACCCCCUCACAGGGGUUGACCAAACCAUUUGAGCCCCUGGAUUCCUUUAACAGAAUACCCUUCACAUAGGGAUGGCGAGAGCAUUCAACCAUCCCUAUCACCUGAACCAGAGCCUAUCCACAACCUUACAAGUUGUGACAAUUUGCUACGUGGCAGUCAAAACCCAAAUGACAACAGCCAAUCAGCCAAGUGGGGAAAAUUCUUGCCGUGCCCCUGUCCCAACGACAGAUGACACACGGCGGCGUAGCAAGGUCAAGUGCAACAAGCCCUAAAGUAGGAAGAGGUGGGCGGGUGUUCCGAAUGCAUGUGCCCAAAGAGGAAGCUCUGGGUCAUGUGCAUAGGCAUAUAUAGGUCCCUUGAUCUGUUUGGACUGCACCCCAUUGGCCAAAUUGAACCCAGCAUCGAGGGACCUACCAACUGGGUGCUGUGGCUGACCAAUCUAACCCACCCACAACACAGGGGAUCGGAUUCCAGGUCUCACUGCAACACAUACCCUCUUUAAGGGAGGACACGAUUAAGCUGUAUCUCCGCCUGGGGCGUGCUUACUAAUAUUCAUGAAGCUUUUAAGCAUGCACAAUGCUCUCUUAACUAUUCUCUGCCAUUCUGAGUCACCCAGACCCUAUACAUCUAUCAACUCUCCAGGGUCAGUGUGGGCUUCUAAUACAUUCUUCCAUAGAUAACGCUGUUCCUAGCCAUCUAAUGGCAACUUUAACAAGGAAAGGAGCCUCUUUGGGAGGAUUAUCCAAUUCAGCUAGCCUGUUUACUCCUCACAGCUGCUAUGUCUCCUUUUUAGUAUCUCCAGCAAUUAAACUCAGGUUGUAAUACAUUAUUUUGCACAGAUAAGCAGUUCUACAGAAGGGGCCCUUUGCGAAUCUCUUGUGGGCAAAGAGUUUAAAAACAGAACCUCAGUGUCUAAUGGCAGGCAUGGUCGUUCCUGCUCUUAUUUAUUUAUUUAUUUAUUUAUUUAUUAUUCCACACACCCCUCCCUGCUUUCUGGAAACUGCUUUUUUGAGGCAACUUGCUCAUCUUGCCUCCUGGGUGGGCAGGCCCUGGAUGCACGUGCCCAGUCCUUCUGCAAUUAUAGAUGAUGCUCCUUUAUUUCCUUUUAGCUAACUUAUGGCUCCUUUUCUCCAGAGGAUACUGGUCAAAGCCAAUCCGCUUCCUUCUACAGGAUGGUGCCCAAUGAAGCCCAACAGUACACUGGGAUUGUUGAGUUACUUCUGCACUUUGCUUGGACGUGGGUUGGGUUGCUUGCUGCAGAAAGUGGAGAGAGAUUUAUUCAGACGCUGAAACCUCUGCUCUCCCAGAAAGGUAUUUGCUUGGCCUUCUCAGAGACAAACCUGAAAAAAACACAUUUGGCUGAGUACUAUCUCAUGUAUUUCCACUGGAUCCAAAUUUAUCAAGCUAUUAGGGAAAGUAAAGCCAAGGUGGUGGUUGUCUAUGGAGGAACAAAGUCCAUGCUUGUAUUGCAGACAAUGAUAGCACUAGGUGAAAUGGAAAAUGUGACCAAGACAUCUGAUGGCAAGGUGUGGAUUUUGACAGCACAACUGGAUUUCACAGCACCGCCCUUGCAAAUGAGCCUGGAUAUGCAAAUCUUCCAGGGUUCCCUCUCCUUUGCAGUUCAUUCAAAUGUGGUACAAGGAUUCAAAGCCUUUCUUCAGGCACAAAAUCCUUUUGAGGCAAAUGGAAAUGGCUUUGUCAAGCAGUUCUGGGCACAAGUCUUUCUCUGUUUAUUUCCAUACUCCAGUACAAAGGAGCAGGCCAGUGAAACCUGCACUGGAGAGGAGAAGCUGGAGAAUCUCCCUUCGUCUGCUUUUGAGAUGACCAUGUCUGGCCACAGCUACAGUCUCUAUACUGCUGUCUAUGCCAUAGCACAUGCUCUACAUGCCAUGUUUCUGCCUGGAGCCAAAUAUAGGAGAAUGGUGGAAGGAGAGAUGCAGGAGUUUUGGCCUUGUCAGGUAAUCCCUGUCAUUUGAUAUCAUUUAUUUGACAUAGGCAGUGAUAUGCAAAACAGUACCCUGAAAAAUUUUAAUCUCCACAUUCUCCAUUUGUGUGCGGAGAAGCUGCUCAUUCAGGACUAGCUCAGUGAAGAGUCAGACUGUUCUGCUUACAGCUGUUUAGCAGGCGGAUCCAACCCUGCACUCUCCAGUUGUUUUGUGAGCAACUUCCUUUGUGUGCAUGGGAAAACAUGCAGCAAACAGAAGCAUGGAAAUAUAGGAUGUAAAACCGUAAAAUAUGCCCUUUCCAGUGAAUUCCAGAAAAUCCCACUUUCCUAGCACAAAAAUAGAUCACAAGCUUAGCAGGUCGUAAUGUGGUUUACUUACAAAACUCUUCUAAGUUCAAAAGUUUUAUGGAACACAACACUCAGAAAAAUGUUGCAGAAGUAGAAGACAAAAUGGUAAAAGUUCCUAAUCUUUCUAUUGGUAUAGAAAAUGGUAGUUUCAGAUUACAUUCUUGUCUGAAAUAAACAGGCUUCUUAAUUCCAUGUGGCUGUAGGGAGCAUCUCAGAACUCCACACAAACGAAAUUCACAUAUAGAGUGAGCAGAACAAUAGGCUUUGUUGCCCAUUUCUUCAAAAGAUAAGGGGCUGGGACAUAGGCCAAGUCUGUCAGAACACCUUUUUCUAACGACAUUAAACCCUUUAUGUAUUUGUUAGACACAAGAAUGAAGGUUAUAUGAGGCUAGUUGGGCAGUGUGUGUGUGUGUGUGUGUGUGUGUGUGUGUGUGUGUGUGUAGAUAUCCAAGCAUGGUCAGUCAUGCAUUGGGAUUUUCCCCAUAGGAAACAAUGGAGAUCAUUGGCUCAGUAUGUGAAUGCUCGCCCUACAAACCAUUUCUCAGAAAACAGAUUAUAUUUGCAUGGCACUACCUCCCUGUGUUGACAGUCUGGAGGCAUCCUGAAUGUGAGAAAGGAGAGACAUUUGCAUUACUUCAAAGUUACUCUUUUUCUUUCAAUGCAGCUCCAUCCCUUUCUUAGGAGUGUCUCCUUUAACAACUCUGCUGGGGAAACAGUAUCUUUUAGUAAGAACAGGGAAGUAGAAGCUGGCUUUGAUAUCACCAACCUGGUCACUUUUCCAAAUAACUCCUUCAUGAAGGUGAAGGUUGGAAGGGUUGGUGUGGAGGCUACACCUGACCAGCCAUUCACCCUUGAUGACAACAGAAUGGUGUGGCACAGAAGCUUUCACCAGGUGAGGCAUAAUUCCCACAU
This is a non-coding RNA of Podarcis lilfordi (Lilford's wall lizard), 6663 nucleotides long. The record is from the annotation of a GenBank genome assembly. NCBI's taxonomy places the organism in Eukaryota, Metazoa, Chordata, Lepidosauria, Squamata, Lacertidae.